GACGAACGCUGGCGGCGUGCUUAACACAUGCAAGUCGAGCGGUAAGGCUCCUUCGGGAGUACACGAGCGGCGAACGGGUGAGUAACACGUGAGCAAUCUGCCCUUCUCAUCGGAAUAACCAUUGGAAACGAUGGCUAAUGCCGAAUACGACUUCCUUUCGCAUGUCAGGAAGUGGAAAGCUCCGGCGGAGAAGGAUGAGCUCGCGGCCUAUCAGCUUGUUGGCGGGGUAACGGCCCACCAAGGCAACGACGGGUAGCCGGCCUGAGAGGGUGACCGGCCACACUGGGACUGAGACACGGCCCAGACUCCUACGGGAGGCAGCAGUGGGGAAUAUUGGACAAUGGGCGAAAGCCUGAUCCAGCAACGCCGCGUGAGGGAUGACGGCCUUCGGGUUGUAAACCUCUUUCAGCGGGGACGAAGCGAAAGUGACGGUACCUGCAGAAGAAGGACCGGCCAACUACGUGCCAGCCGCCGCGGUAA
RNAcentral lists this ribosomal RNA (480 nucleotides) under uncultured bacterium. RNAcentral describes it as "partial 16S ribosomal RNA". It matches the Rfam family "Bacterial small subunit ribosomal RNA", at positions 28 to 523 of the family's 1533-position model. The record is from RNAcentral.